GUCGAACGGGGUCGGACUUCGGUUCCGGCUUACGUGGCGCACGGGUGAGUAACACGUGGGAAUCUGCCCAUCUAUGGGGAAUAACUGCGGGAAACUGCAGCUAAUACCGCAUACGCCCUUCGGGGGAAAGGCUUCGGCCGUAGAUGGAUGAGCCCGCGUCCGAUUAGCUAGUUGGUGGGGUAAUGGCCUACCAAGGCGACGAUCGGUAGCUGGUCUGAGAGGAUGAUCAGCCACACUGGGACUGAGACACGGCCCAGACUCCUACGGGAGGCAGCAGUGGGGAAUAUUGGACAAUGGGCGAAAGCCUGAUCCAGCAAUGCCGCGUGAGUGAUGAAGGUCUUCGGAUUGUAAAGCUCUUUCGACGGGGAAGAUAAUGACGGUACCCGUAGAAGAAGCCCCGGCUAACUUCGUGCCAGCAGCCGCGGUAAUACGAAGGGGGCUAGCGUUGUUCGGAUUUACUGGGCGUAAAGCGUGCGUAGGCGGCUUAUCAAGUCAGAAGUGAAAGCCCGGGGCUCAACUCCGGAAUGGCUUUUGAGACUGGUAGGCCGGAGUUCGGGAGAGGGUAGUGGAAUUCCCAGUGUAGAGGUGAAAUUCGUAGAUAUUGGGAAGAACACCGGUGGCG
This 622-nucleotide ribosomal RNA is filed under the name uncultured bacterium. RNAcentral describes it as "bacterial SSU rRNA". It matches the Rfam family "Bacterial small subunit ribosomal RNA", at positions 61 to 717 of the family's 1533-position model. The record is from RNAcentral.